AGAUUGAACGCUGGCGGCAGGCUUAACACAUGCAAGUCGAGCGGAAACGAUGAUAGCUUGCUAUCAGGCGUCGAGCGGCGGACGGGUGAGUAAUACUUAGGAAUCUACCUAGUAGUGGGGGAUAGCACGGGGAAACUCGUAUUAAUACCGCAUACGACCUACGGGAGAAAGGGGGCAGUUUACUGCUCUCGCUAUUAGAUGAGCCUAAGUCGGAUUAGCUAGAUGGUGGGGUAAAGGCCUACCAUGGCGACGAUCUGUAGCUGGUCUGAGAGGAUGAUCAGCCACACCGGGACUGAGACACGGCCCGGACUCCUACGGGAGGCAGCAGUGGGGAAUAUUGGACAAUGGGGGAAACCCUGAUCCAGCCAUGCCGCGUGUGUGAAGAAGGCCUUUUGGUUGUAAAGCACUUUAAGCAGUGAAGAAGACUCUGUGGUUAAUACCCACAGACGAUGACAUUAGCUGCAGAAUAAGCACCGGCUAACUCUGUGCCAGCAGCCGCGGUAAUACAGAGGGUGCAAGCGUUAAUCGGAAUUACUGGGCGUAAAGGGAGCGUAGGUGGCUCGAUAAGUCAGAUGUGAAAUCCCCGGGCUCAACCUGGGAACUGCAUCUGAUACUGUUGAGCUAGAGUAUGUGAGAGGAAGGUAGAAUUCCAGGUGUAGCGGUGAAAUGCGUAGAGAUCUGGAGGAAUACCGAUGGCGAAGGCAGCCUUCUGGCAUAAUACUGACACUGAGGCUCGAAAGCGUGGGUAGCAAACAGGAUUAGAUACCCUGGUAGUCCACGCCGUAAACGAUGUCUACUAGUCGUUGGGUCCCUUGAGGACUUAGUGACGCAGCUAACGCAAUAAGUAGACCGCCUGGGGAGUACGGCCGCAAGGUUAAAACUCAAAUGAAUUGACGGGGGCCCGCACAAGCGGUGGAGCAUGUGGUUUAAUUCGAUGCAACGCGAAGAACCUUACCUGGUCUUGACAUAUCUAGAAUCCUGCAGAGAUGCGGGAGUGCCUUCGGGAAUUAGAAUACAGGUGCUGCAUGGCUGUCGUCAGCUCGUGUCGUGAGAUGUUGGGUUAAGUCCCGCAACGAGCGCAACCCUUGUCCUUAGUUACCAGCGGGUUAAGCCGGGAACUCUAAGGAUACUGCCAGUGACAAACUGGAGGAAGGCGGGGACGACGUCAAGUCAUCAUGGCCCUUACGACCAGGGCUACACACGUGCUACAAUGGUAGGUACAGAGGGCAGCUACACAGCGAUGUGAUGCGAAUCUCAAAAAGCCUAUCGUAGUCCAGAUUGGAGUCUGCAACUCGACUCCAUGAAGUAGGAAUCGCUAGUAAUCGCGGAUCAGAAUGCCGCGGUGAAUACGGGCCUUGUACACACCGCCCGUCACACCAUGGGAGUUGACGCACCAGAAGUGGGUAGCC
This 1409-nucleotide ribosomal RNA is filed under the name Psychrobacter sp. 44. RNAcentral's name for it is "bacterial SSU rRNA". It matches the Rfam family "Bacterial small subunit ribosomal RNA". The record is from RNAcentral. Lineage: Bacteria; Pseudomonadati; Pseudomonadota; Gammaproteobacteria; Moraxellales; Moraxellaceae.